AACGAACGCUGGCGGCGUGCUUAACACAUGCAAGUCGAACGCGAAAGGGACUUCGGUCCUGAGUAAAGUGGCGCACGGGUGAGUAACGCGUAGAUAACCUGUCUUCGAGUCUGGAAUAAUACACCGAAAGGGGUACUAAUACCGGAUAUUCUUGCAUUUCAUAAGGAGUGCAAGCAAAGGUGGCCUCUGUAUAUGCUACUGCUUGAUGAGGGGUCUGCGUACCAUUAGCUAGUAGGUGGGGUAAUGGCCCACCUAGGCUACGAUGGUUAGCGGGUCUGAGAGGAUGAUCCGCCACACUGGCACUGGAACACGGGCCAGACUCCUACGGGAGGCAGCAGUGAGGAAUAUUGCGCAAUGGGGGCAACCCUGACGCAGCGACGCCGCGUGAGUGAGGAAGGCCUUGGUCGUAAGACUCUGUCAAGAGGAAAGAAGUAGCGUGGUGGCGUAAUACCU
Molecule: ribosomal RNA, 453 nt
Filed under: uncultured bacterium
Lineage: Bacteria
Description: bacterial SSU rRNA
Rfam family: Bacterial small subunit ribosomal RNA
Source: RNAcentral